AGGAAAGAGAGAAAGCUGCCAACAG
This 25-nucleotide non-coding RNA is filed under the name Cricetulus griseus (Chinese hamster). The record is from RNAcentral. Lineage: Eukaryota; Metazoa; Chordata; Mammalia; Rodentia; Cricetidae.